UUGGAGGUGUGUACGCCUGAGGUGGAAGGGCAGGGGGUGCAGAAUCCCCUUCCUGUCUUUUCGUGGUCCCCAUUUUCCCUCUCCUCCACCUCCCUCCCUUUCCAAUGCAGGUUUCUUAAACCUGAUCACUUUCCCAGACUGAGGGCGGUUUCUUGGGCAGCCAGGGGACUAGAGGGAGGAGGAGGUGGGGAGCCUUAUCCGCACGCGCGUGUGCAUGCAUGUGGAAGGGGGGUGGUGGCGAUUGCGCCUAGGCCUGGGCAGAUCCCAACGCAAACUUUGAAGGCACAAGAACCGGAAAGUUAAGAGCUUGUUACAGGAUGGGGGUGGGGCUGGGUGCAGAGUUGCCCCCCACCACGGGGAUCCUCGAGACGUCGACAUGAAGAGAAAGGUGGACUCGAGUUCGGUCAUUCAGUCUCGCCCACCCCUGCCGCAGCCACUACCCAGCGGUGGGAAAAACGAGAGAGGAAGAAAGAGGGAAGAAAGUUGCGGCCGGGCUCUCUCGCGGGGCGGUGCGCGGAGCUGCUGGGAGCUCGCCCAAGAACAAUUGCUCUCCCUCAACUGAACUCUCCGGUCCGGGGGACCAGUUCCCAAGGCGCAGUGCGAGCUGUCUUAGGUUAAUUCACCGAGGUAAGGUGGGGGUGGGGGUCCUGAGCAACCAAGGGAGGGGUUGGCUUGCUUGCGCGGCGCGUGCGUGAAAGAAAACUAGAGGCACGAGGCCAAGCCCCGCAUUUUACUCAGUCUCCAACUUCCCUACCCCUUCCUUCCAAAGUAGAACCCGGCCCUGGAGCUGAGCACUCGCCCAGGACCCACCGCUCGGCACAAACACCGCUUGCCCAGAAGAAAAGGCAUGCAACACACCUCUUCCCGUCUCCCCGAAAGUAGCGACGCUCUCUUCCAUAACCGCUAGAUUCAUUCGAGAAAAGAUCCCAGGCAGAGGUUUUAUUUGAAGAUAAUUUUGGCUAGCCAUUAGACCCCACUUGUUCCGAACUGGUUCUCUCAAUAUACAGCGGUCAGCGCGCAUCAAGAUUUGGCUCUAUUGCUGUUCAAGAGAAAGGCAGGAGGGAAAGUCCUAGUGAUGCGGUGCACUGGCUGGCUGCCUCCCUUUGCCAGACCCGGGCGACGGCAGGAAGAGAGCAUUGUUUUCAACUCAAGGGUGCAGGAGGGUCUGUCUCCGCCUGCAAUCAACAGGCCUUGUAAUAUGAGAGUGCCUCACAUAGCGGGAGCCUCAGAUCCAAGUUCCUCAGUCCUUACAUUGACAUCGUUGGCGCCGGACUGGUAAGUGUUAGCGGCCAUCAGAAAGAAAGAUGCCUAUUAUUUGGGUUCCAUCCAUAUUUCAUUAGCAUAAUUGUGCGUGCGUUCCCAGACAGUAAGAAAUGAGCAGAAUGAAGUAGUGGACAUACCUAGAAUUUAUUUAAUUUCCUAAUGUGGAUCUCAUGAGCAACAUAGACGAAGGGUUUGAAAUUCUCAUUCAUUCCCCGCCUCUGGGGCGGAAUCACCUCAUCAUCUGAGAGGAAAUUCCAGCACAUCCUUCCACUGUUAACAGAUUUCCUAGUGUACUACUGCCCGGUUUUUAUCACUAAUUACGCUCUGGGGCUUGUACUGAACACUAUAAUGCAUUACAUGGAACAACAAUGAAUCAACUCAUUUGGUGAACUAGAAUGCAUAUUUAUAAUUAGGCUUCAAAAAAUUACCCAUAAUGAUAGAGUGAAGGUUUGCAGCCUGCCACACAGGUGGAUCUAGAAGUCAUGAUGCAGUCUCCUGUUUCACUAGUUACGACACGAAUUCCUAACCACCCUAUAAAUUAGCUUUAUGCUGUACUAAACUCCACUCAUAAAAAAAAUGACAUUAAGGUUUCCUAGGUAACUAAUGCAUUUCCAAAGGGACCAGGUCUUAGGAGACAAAGAGGACAGGGAAGAGAGUGGGGGAGGGGAAGAAAAAAUGUAAAAACCAAAAAAAAAAAAAAAAGAUUAGAUUGGACCCAUGUGAUGCAAACAGAGUAUUUCAGGGGAGGAACCGUAAAGUUUUACUGUGUGUGUUUGACAUAGAUGUGGCAUUGUCGUGAAUCCCAUCCUUGGUCAAUAAAAUACCCCAUAGACUGCCCGCCUAUCACAUAGGCCAAUGUUUCUCUGCGGAUUCGAUGAUGUGAACUGAGAAACCGGGAGCCUACUAUUCAGCUGCUGAGCUGUAUCCACUCUGACAAGGCCAACCUGAGCCUUCCACUGGCUGUAUUUAGAUGCUGCCAAAUGUCAGGAUGGGAGGGAAAAGUGGCGUUAAUUGAGAUAUUUUGAAACAUGCUCGUGCUUUUGAUCAUCAUGGACUCAGACUCCGAGAACCUUGGUGCAACCUUAGAAGGUUGAGGCUUGAGGGUUGAAUCGACAGAGCCAGCUAAUUUCAAAAUCCCUAAUUUAAUGUUGUCUUUUCUGUGCAAGAGAGAUGCCUGUCCGCUGAGGAACACCUUGAACACUUAAAAGGAACCAGAAAGGCUGUAGCUAGAGGGAACUUAAGGCUCAGCUCUCUUAUAAGGAGAGCAGGGAUUCUGAAAUAUUUUGUCACCACAAAAGUUCUUACUAGACUGUCCCAUGUAGGGUUUCUUUCGCAAACUUCUUUUCAGAUUUAUUUUCAUUUGUGUGAAUGUGUGUAUCUCUCUGUGUGUAUGCCACACAUUAACAAGUACCCCUGGGGUCGGAGGAGUGUGUUAUAGAACUGAUAGAAGACGUUUGUCACGGUUUAAGGUUGUCUGGGAGUUUGAGAGAAGGGAGGCAACAGGCUGUGAGUAGGAUUCGGUUCAGUCUAUCUAUGGACCACAUAGGUGAACAUGUCAAGUCGGGACACUGACUUGAUGUACCGAAGAAAGGGAGAUUUCAGCAUUGGUCCAUCCUCCCUGUUGGUUUUAUUGUGUAGGACACACCUACGUAACUGUUCACAACAGCUUGGCUAAGAGCUCUCAGAGGCGUGCUAGACAAAGCUGUUAGUGCCAGGCUUCUAAUAAAUUUGUCUAAGGGGUUAGACCAUUGGCUUUGGCCCACUGGUUGACAAGACAUCUAAAUCAAAACUACUCGGAUUUGCAGAAUCACGAUAUGGAGGAAGGAAGUAGUUGAGCCUUGAGACUGUGAUAAGUGAACAUGCCUACUCAGAAACUAUAGAAUUUGUACCUGAACCUGUGGACAACGAACGUCUUGUUUUAUGUGCUUCAUCUGAAUCCUGUCCAGUGGCAACUGGUCACUCAUACAAAUGUCUGCCCAUCUAGUGUAGACACAGAUUUAAUUGUCAGUGUUCGAAGCCUUUCCUGUGGCCAAGCUUCAGAAUCCGGAGCUGCUUUUGGAGCACACGAUCUGCAUGUCACUGCUCCAUGCUCUUCUCUGCCUCCAAAUAAGAACGAGAAACUUCUACUGGUUCUUCUCUCUGUCUCUAAGAAGUUUCCCACAAGCUAUUUGCAAUAACAAGUCCAAAACUUGGAUAUUAGAUCCUUUGAAGUGGAGAGGAUUACUUUACCAAUGACAACUGUACUGUCUCUUUUCCCUCGUUCACCUCCCCAUCCGACCUUAGGGACACCUUUGAAAUAAAGCUUUUUCUUUCUGGAGAGACAAACAACAGAAUUGGAAAUACACAGACAUUCACAAAUCAAGAGCAAUGAGUUUUGCCUAGAGUUAUCAGGGCGUCUGUGGUUAAUGACAAUGGAAUCAGACCUGGCAGGGGAUCACAAGAUGACACACUGGUCCACACCCCUUAUCUCAAGUUGGAAAACAGAGACUGGCUGCCAUGGGGAACCGACACAUGAAUGGCUUGCAUUCUUUUAGAGUUGGAAGGUGCCCGAGAGUUCCCUAGUCAAGUCCUCCGUUUCACAGAGGAAGUCAUCAUCGUACAGAAAAAUGAAGGGAUCGGUCUGGGAGCGCACAGAAAAUCAGACUCAUCAGUGAGUGAGUGGUACCCAGGCUCCUCACUCCCAUGAUGCUCUCUGUUCUUCCCAUACAGUCCCAAGAGACACAUGGCUGCUUCCUCCAGAGUACAUUCUGUGCACCAUCCUUGAUCUCCUGCCAUUCCUUUUUAGUCCUUUCUUUCUCUUAUUUCAAUUUAUUUUAAUACUUCAUUUCCCUUAUGCUGGCCUCAUUGUGAACUACUGGCCACAAAGCAACUUAGAAUGCAGGAAGCAAGGUUAGAGUGGGGACUGGAAGGGUUUAUCAAAGGAGGAGCAAAAGUGGUUUUAAAUGUGAAAUGGCUGCUGUCUUAUUGCUGGUGACAUAGGUUGGUUCUUCCUGAAGAGAGGGCUUUACGGUGGUCGUGCCUCGUUCUCAGGGAUUUUAAGACCCCUAGAUGAUGCCUGAAACCUCUAAGUAUGUGUGCAUGUGUUGUCUUCUAUGCAUAGACACCUAUGAUAAAAUUUAACAUGCAAAUAAGAUGCUGUAAGAUUAAUAACCAGCAAUAAACUAUAACAAUCACAGCAAUAGACUGUUGUAAAAGCUAUUUAAAUUUUACGAGUUUUGUCUUUCUGGAAUUUUCCAUCUAUGAUGUUCAGAUUUUUGUUGGCCAUGACUAAUCACAACAGAGGAAGCAGAACCUUAGAUAAGUAGGGCUCUCUCCCCCGGGUAACCUCUCCCCUCAGAUAACCUCUGUCUAAUCUUUUUGAUUGUUAUUGCAGAUGACCUUAGAAGGUUUCCAUUUUAUAAAAAACCUUUCAACCAUCUUUUUCUUGCUUCUUCGUCUUCUUUUCUCUAUAUUAAAAAAAAAAAACAAGAAGAUCCAUUUUACUGAAGGAAUACUUGGUAGAACUUUUAGUUUCAUUUUCCUACAAAAACUGGCUCAUCAACAAGAUUUUCAGAGUAGGGUUCAUGUAGGUGGGUGGGAGCUCUAGGGUACCGAUGUCAAGUGAAGUCAAAGGUGGUGUUUCUGAUGUGCAGAAUUUCCCAAAACAGAACCUCUUGCCACAACAGUUCUUGAGUUGUUCUCUGCCUUGAGGGGCUGGAGAGAUGGCUCAGUAGUUAAGAGCACUGGCUGCUCUUCUGAGGACCCAGGUUCAAUUUCCAGCACCCACAUGGAAGUUCACAACUGGUGUGGGAAGUCCUUCUGUAUAUGUGUUGCUUUUAUUGGCCAAUGAAUAAAGCUGUUUCUGCCAGUGGCUUAGCAAAAUAGAGCUUGGUGAGAAAACUAAACUGAAUGCUGCGAGAACGAAGGCAGAAUCAAGAAGAAGCCAUGCAGCUGCCCCAUCAGAGACAGACAUACCAAAACUUUGCUGGUAAACCAUGAGCCUCAUGGUAAAGUAUAAAAUAAUAAAAAUGGGUUAAUUUAAGAUAUGAACUAGCUGAAAAUACACUUAGUUAUGGCCAAACAAUAUUGCAAUUGAGACAGAGUUCUGUGUGAUUAUUUUGUGUCUGGGCAGCAGGGAAUGAAUGAGCAGGCUCCCCCAACACACAACUGUCUAUAACCCGAAGAUAUGACAUCCUUACACAGACAAAACAAAAACUGCCUUGAAGCGAUGCUGUGUAGUUGGUUUGGGGCUGUCUGGGUAGCUGAUCAGUCAAGAUAUCAUCUUAAUGUGAGGUUCACAUGCUAUUGAUCCAGUCCUGUCAGAUCAUGGGUACUUUCUCCAAGUCUGUGCCGCCGAUGUUAUAUAGAACUAUUUGGGGUUGUGCAUGGAUAAACAUUUUUAAAUUUAACAGUGAUAUUUAUGUUGUGUUAAUGCAUGAAAUCUAUUUAUGGAGAUAUAAAUCUUUCCUUAACUAAAUUUAUUGUGAAACUUGACUUCUGGCAAUGGAGCCUAAUUUGUAAUAAGUGAAGCCUUCCAUCAAGAAUUUCUUUAAAAGUUGGGCUGGAAAAAAUACUUUAAAACUUAUUUGAAGGUUCCACUUAUGGCCUGGCUGCAGAAGCUCUAGAAGACCAGUUCUACAACAGUUAAAAACAUGUCCCACUUGAGGGUGCAGGUGUGUUCAGAUGGGAGUGAAGGUGUUCAUGGAGACCAGAGGAGAGCGCCAGAUCUUCUGAAGCUGCCUGGUGUGGGAACUGGGAAUUGAACUUGAGUCUUCUGUGAAAACAGCACAUGCUCUUAACCUCUGAGCCGUGUCUAACCCCCCUGAUGCCAUUCUUAGGAAGCCAUUCUUAUAAUAGCCAGCAGGAGGAAUCUAGUGUGCAAAAAUAUUAUAUUUCUACUUCUGUGGUGCACGGAGUGAGAAUCUACUGGAAAGAGGUAUCAAGGUAUUUCCUGGAAUGAUAGAGCCUUAGAUUGCAGUGCCCACAUUUGUCAAAACAGUGUUCCUCUAGAUUUGUGCAAUUUAAUUUAUGUAUAUGUUGUAUCUAAUGAGAAAUAUCCAUUAAACAAUAUUGAACUCAACUUAA
Alexandromys fortis (reed vole) is the source of this 6327-nucleotide long non-coding RNA. RefSeq lists it as uncharacterized. The transcript has 6 exons. The record is from RefSeq and is a predicted model, not a curated record. NCBI's taxonomy places the organism in Eukaryota, Metazoa, Chordata, Mammalia, Rodentia, Cricetidae.